UGGGGAAUUUUGGACAAUGGGCGAAAGCCUGAUCCAGCAAUGCCGCGUGUGUGAAGAAGGCCUUCGGGUUGUAAAGCACUUUUGUCCGGAAAGAAAUCCUUGGCUCUAAUACAGUCGGGGGAUGACGGUACCGGAAGAAUAGGCACCGGCUAACUACGUGCCAGCAGCCGCGGUAAUACGUAGGGUGCAAGCGUUAAUCGGAAUUACUGGGCGUAAAGCGUGCGCAGGCGGUUUGCUAAGACCGAUGUGAAAUCCCCGGGCUCAACCUGGGAACUGCAUUGGUGACUGGCAGGCUAGAGUAUGGCAGAGGGGGGUAGAAUUCCACGUGUAGCAGUGAAAUGCGUAGAGAUGUGGAGGAAUACCGAUGGCGAAGGCAGCCCCCUGGGCCAAUACUGACGCUCAUGCACGAAAGCGUGGGGAGCAAACAGGAUUAGAUACCCUGGUAGUCCACGCCCUAAACGAUGUCAACUAGUUGUUGGGGAUUCAUUUCCUUAGUAACGUAGCUAACGCGUGAAGUUGACCGCCUGGGGAGUACGGUCGCAAGAUUAAAACUCAAAUGAAUUGACGGGGUCAUAGCUGUUUCCU
RNAcentral lists this ribosomal RNA (585 nucleotides) under uncultured bacterium. RNAcentral's name for it is "partial 16S ribosomal RNA". It matches the Rfam family "Bacterial small subunit ribosomal RNA", at positions 355 to 1375 of the family's 1533-position model. The record is from RNAcentral.